UCUGAGGAGAAGGUGGCAGGGCGGCUCCCUCUCCUCCCCGGCCGCCUCGCAGGCCUCGCCCGCCGCCCUUCUCCUCACGCCUCACCCUUUCCCGGCCUCCCCUCCUUAGCCACCCCACGGGGAGGCAUCGCUGGGGCCCGGGGACCCUCCCUGCCUGCAGGGCCAGGGCCUCCCUCGCCACCCGCCAUGGCCCUUCUGUGUCCCUGCCUCUCCCCAUGUCGCCAAGGCCUGGCCGCCUCCUGAGGCAGGGGACGAGGCGAGGAUGGUCCAGCAGGGAGAGGAGAGGGGAUCCAUCCCUGAAGGGCAGCGGAUGGACAUUUUGCCACGGCGGUGAGGAAGGAAGGGAGCCCUCGGUGCUGCUGGAGCCCGUCCCCAUGGGGACCUGCAUCUACUGCAGAGGUUGCCAGUCAGCAUCCCGGACACGUGCCCUGCUGAAUCAGAUGCCCCAGAUGCCUGGUGGAGGGGUAGGAUUACCCAAAAGGAGACACGGGAUUCAUCUGCAAGCUUGCAAAACCAGCAGGAUGGAGGGAAACGUCCAAAAAUAAUGCCGCUGGGAUGUUGAAUAUGCUGCGGAUCGAGCCAACAAUGCUGGGCACUGCCAGUUCCUGUUUCUUUCUGGAAAAAAACCAAUCGAGAGGAUGGGUAGGAACAGCCCGAGGCCGCUGCACCCUUUCCUCCCGCCCGCCCCUCCUCCCAGGGAGGAGAAACACCAUCUCCCACCCCUCUGGGUGCCAAAAAAGUUGAAAUCUGAGGAUAUAAAUCCCCUCCUGAGCACUUCUGCUGCACCAGACACCCCGUAAAAACCCCGCUAGUGGUUUUCCUUUCAGCAGACGCCCCCCAAAACCCGGCUGCGGGGGCGCACAGCGGGUCCCU
Long non-coding RNA from Grus americana (Whooping crane), 873 nucleotides. RefSeq lists it as uncharacterized. The record is from RefSeq and is a predicted model, not a curated record. NCBI's taxonomy places the organism in Eukaryota, Metazoa, Chordata, Aves, Gruiformes, Gruidae. The transcript is spliced from 3 exons.